GACGAACGCUGGCGGCGUGCCUAAUACAUGCAAGUAGAACGCUGAAGGAGGAGCUUGCUCUUCUGGAUGAGUUGCGAACGGGUGAGUAACGCGUAGGUAACCUGCCUGGUAGCGGGGGAUAACUAUUGGAAACGAUAGCUAAUACCGCAUAAGAGUAGAUGUUGCAUGACAUUUGCUUAAAAGGUGCAAUUGCAUCACUACCAGAUGGACCUGCGUUGUAUUAGCUAGUUGGUGGGGUAACGGCUCACCAAGGCGACGAUACAUAGCCGACCUGGGAGGGUGAUCGGCCACACUGGGACGGAGACACGGCCCAGACUCCUACGGGAGGCAGCAGUAGGGAAUCUUCGGCAAUGGACGGAAGUCUGAACGAGGAACGCCGCGGGAGAGAAGAAGGUUUUCGGAUCGUAAAGCUCUGUUGUAAGAGAAGAACGAGUGUGAGAGUGGAAAGUUCACACUGUGACGGUAUCUUACCAGAAAGGGACGGCUAACUACGUG
This 495-nucleotide ribosomal RNA is filed under the name uncultured bacterium. RNAcentral describes it as "partial 16S ribosomal RNA". It matches the Rfam family "Bacterial small subunit ribosomal RNA", at positions 28 to 507 of the family's 1533-position model. The record is from RNAcentral.